Molecule: long non-coding RNA, 1052 nt
Organism: Jaculus jaculus (lesser Egyptian jerboa)
Lineage: Eukaryota; Metazoa; Chordata; Mammalia; Rodentia; Dipodidae
Exons: 4
Source: RefSeq, a predicted model, not a curated record
CCUCCUUCUGCAGCUUUGCUCGCAGAACUGUGCGCGGGGAGCGAAGGGUCCAGAGUCCCAGGUUAGGUUGAGCCUCAGCGAGUCUCCACCUCAUCCACUCGUUUUACAGAAAAAGUUAGUUGGAAAGGUCCCUCGCUUUCAUAUCCCACGGCGAAGCCACGAGCUGGCGGAUGACUUCGGAGUUCUCAGAGCCGAGGAAACCCAGCGCAUCGGGGUUAUAACAAGCCCGUUUCAAGGCCCCACAUCUUGGACGUGUUAGAAGCGAGGCCGGUAGGACGUCAGAUCCCGUACUUUCUCCAUAGGAUUAUUAGCAACUUUUACCUUAGGAAGGCGAGGACCCACGGAGUCACCUGUGCACCUGGCAGCCAAGUGCUCAUCUCCAACACACAGAAUUGGACAGCUGACACCCUACCUAGACAUCUCCAUGCUAGAGCACAGCAAAUGCCCGAUACAGCCAUGUCUGGAUUGAUGGUUGGAGCAGCUGCAGGUAUAUACCCAGGAGGACUGACAGCAGAGACAGGAAAAUAAAUCUGUACGUGUCUGUAGCAGUGCUACUCAUAAGAGGCAAAAAGAAAAGGAAGCAACUUAAGCAUCCGUCAACAGAUGAAUGGAAAAGCGAAAUGUGGCACACACAUGCAAUGGAAGAAUUAUUCACCGAAAAAAAAAAGAAGGAAGUUCUGACACAUUCUACAACUCCCGUGAAUUUUGAAGACAUUAUCCUAAAUAGAAUAAGCCUCUCAAAUAAAGGCAAAUAUCACGAUUCCACUUAUAGGAGACGGCAGAGAAGUGAAAAAAUCACAAAAGGAGAAAGUGGAGUGGUGGUAGCCAAGGAGCUGGAGGAGGGAGGGGUUAUUUUCAAUGGGCAAAGACCUCGCUGUAUAAGAUGAAGACUUUUGGAGCUGGACAGGGGAAAGUUACACAUUAUAUAUGUAUUUAAUACCACUGAACUAUAUACUUGAAAGUGGUUAAGACAGUAAAUUUUCUGUUAUGCAUAUUUUACUAUAAUAAAAAAAAUGGGAAAACAUGUAGCUGCUUAAAAAGUUGACACUUCC